GUAGGGGGCAAGCGUUAUCCGGAUUUACUGGGUGUAAAGGGAGCGCAGGCGGCAGCGCAAGUCUGAUGUGAAAGCCCGGGGCCCAACCGCGGGACUGCAUUGGAAACUGCGCAGCUGGAGUGCCGGAGGGGUAAGCGGAAUUCCUAGUGUAGCGGUGAAAUGCGUAGAUAUUAGGAGGAACACCAGUGGCGAAGGCGGCUUACUGGACGGCAACUGACGCUGAGGCUCGAAAGCGUGGGGAGCAAA
Molecule: ribosomal RNA, 246 nt
Filed under: uncultured bacterium
Lineage: Bacteria
Description: partial 16S ribosomal RNA
Rfam family: Bacterial small subunit ribosomal RNA
Source: RNAcentral